UCUCAUGUGUUUUCAGGUCUGCUGACCUACUGAAUCUCUUGUCACAGUGUGAACACUCAAAAGGUUUCUCUCCAGUGUGGAUCCUCUCAUGUGUUUUCAGGUCUCCUGACUGAGUGAAUCUCUUGUCACAGUGUGAACACUUAAAAGGUUUCUCUCCAGUGUGGAUCCUCUCAUGUGUUUUCAGAUACGUUGAGUUUCUGAAUCUCUUGUCACAGUGUGAACACUCAUAAGGUUUUUCUCCAGUGUGGAUCCUCUCAUGUGUUAUCAGAUGUACUGACUGAUUGAAUCUCUUGUCACAGUGUGAACACUCAAAUGGUUUUU
This is a long non-coding RNA of Carassius gibelio (silver crucian carp), 321 nucleotides long. RefSeq lists it as uncharacterized. NCBI's taxonomy places the organism in Eukaryota, Metazoa, Chordata, Actinopteri, Cypriniformes, Cyprinidae. The record is from RefSeq and is a predicted model, not a curated record. The transcript has 3 exons.